GAUGAACGCUGGCGGCGUGCCUAAUACAUGCAAGUCGAGCGAACAGACGAGGAGCUUGCUCCUCUGACGUUAGCGGCGGACGGGUGAGUAACACGUGGAUAACCUACCUAUAAGACUGGGAUAACUUUGGGAAACCGGAGCUAAUACCGGAUAAUAUAUUGAACCGCAUGGUUCAAUAGUGAAAGACGGUUUUGCUGUCACUUAUAGAUGGAUCCGCGCCGCAUUAGCUAGUUGGUAAGGUAACGGCUUACCAAGGCGACGAUGCGUAGCCGACCUGAGAGGGUGAUCGGCCACACUGGAACUGAGACACGGUCCAGACUCCUACGGGAGGCAGCAGUAGGGAAUCUUCCGCAAUGGGCGAGAGCCUGACGGAGCAACGCCGCGUGAGUGAUGAAGGUCUUCGGAUCGUAAAACUCUGUUAUUAGGGAAGAACAAAUGUGUAAGUAACUAUGCACGUCUUGACGGUACCUAAUCAGAAAGCCACGGCUAACUACGUG
Molecule: ribosomal RNA, 497 nt
Filed under: uncultured bacterium
Lineage: Bacteria
Description: partial 16S ribosomal RNA
Rfam family: Bacterial small subunit ribosomal RNA
Source: RNAcentral